Long non-coding RNA from Platichthys flesus (European flounder), 831 nucleotides. RefSeq lists it as uncharacterized. The transcript has 3 exons. Lineage: Eukaryota; Metazoa; Chordata; Actinopteri; Pleuronectiformes; Pleuronectidae. The record is from RefSeq and is a predicted model, not a curated record.
CUAGUAGGAGGCGUUCCCCCGGCGCCAUCUUGCUGGUGCUUACUCCUCCUCGGUUCUGGUUAACGAAUCAAUGGGCAAGGAGGAGGAGCGCGAGUCAAGACUGACAGCCUAACGAUGCUCGCGGAGCUCAGCGUGUCCAGGUUAGCUCAGAGCUAAGGAGCUAGGCUACAUGCUACCCGACGCUGCUAACCGGUUAGCGCUGUGCUGUAGCUGGUCGCGAUCUUUACGAACUCACUAGAGAGGUCCGUUAACUGUCCAGCCGAGCAUUGUUUUGACGGCAUAUGGUCCAUCUCCCACACUCCUGAUGACUUGAAGUGGUUCCAGAGCCUUUGGUACAUCGGCGCCAAUCAAUCUCACAGUCAAGUUCAGAUGAAGCACUGCAGCACCGGAUCUGUCCUCAGCAGCAACAUGGUGGAGAUCGGCAGCUUCAGGCUGGUCAUCACGAGGACGACCUGCACAAGCUUCAUCGGCCCAACACUUCACGUUUCUCCCUCAACUAAAGAUGGCCUGCAACUGUCUAGAGUUGGCAAUCAUUGCUAUGUAUCAUGGAUAAUAGAUUUAAUUUCUAUAUUCAUUAUGGUUGGUUAAAAAAAUUAUUAUCUUUUACAAUCUGAUACACUUAAGAUAAAAACCCAGUGCUUUAUUUUUCUAAUUCCCCAUAAGAGACAGAACACCGUUCUUCAGGCUCGUCCGUCCCUAAUAAAAUGACAGGAGACAUAAAAGAAUGGCAUUAUUGUAUAGGAAGUGUAACUUAUGAACAAAGUUUCUGUCCAAAAAAUUCUGUGGAUAUUCAACUCUGUAUUUGAAUUAAACAGUGCACUACCAAGACAA